This 301-nucleotide ribosomal RNA is filed under the name uncultured bacterium. RNAcentral's name for it is "partial 16S ribosomal RNA". It matches the Rfam family "Bacterial small subunit ribosomal RNA", at positions 509 to 807 of the family's 1533-position model. The record is from RNAcentral.
CAGUAGCCACGGUAAUACGAAGGGUGCAAGCGUUAAUCGGAAUUACUGGGCGUAAAGCGUGCGUAGGCGGUAAGUUAAGUCUGCUGUGAAAUCCCCGGGCUCAACCUGGGAAUGGCAGUGGAUACUGGCUCGCUAGAGUGUGUCAGAGGAUGGUGGAAUUCCCGGUGUAGCGGUGAAAUGCGUAGAGAUCGGGAGGAACAUCAGUGGCGAAGGCGGCCAUCUGGGACAACACUGACGCUGAGGCACGAAAGCGUGGGGAGCAAACAGGAUUAGAUACCCGCGUAGUCCCUGUCUCUUAUAC